CUUUUCUAAUAUAUUAAAGUAUAUUUGGCUUCCAACCAAAAAGUUUGCUCCUUGGCAAGUAAAGUAA
RNAcentral lists this transfer RNA (67 nucleotides) under Saron marmoratus. Its description in RNAcentral is "tRNA-Gly". Lineage: Eukaryota; Metazoa; Arthropoda; Malacostraca; Decapoda; Hippolytidae. The record is from RNAcentral.